CCACAACGCCCAGAAAGCACCGCGCCUCCCGAGCUGGAACUCGUUAAGGGGGAACAGGGAACCCGCGAGAGGAUGCGCCAAACGCUAAGGCUCUGCAGGCGCCUGCGCAGUGUUCUGGGGAGCGAGUGGAACACACACACCUACCGGAGCGAAUCCAAGUGAAAACAGUGUGGGAGCCCUGCGGAGCUCUGCUGGAAAGAAAGCGCGUUCCUCCCCAAGCUCUGGCCUGGUGUCCGCAGCUACUGAGAGUGACACUUUUCCCCCCAGCGUCUGCGUACUUUAAGUGGUUCCAACCAGUUAAACCAGCCUGGGCUGCUGACCCACCCCGCCUCUGGGCGGAGCACCUUGCUGGCCUUCUUUGGGCGGAGAUCUUCCUUUGGAGAAUUCUUGCCUGGGGGUUUGGAGAAAGGAGGCUUCUGGGGCCAGGGCUGGGCAAUCCGCAGGACCCCUGAAGUGUGUUGACUUGCGGGAAACUGCUGGCUCCCACCCACUUGCCUCCGCAGUUAGCAAUCCAUACCCGAGUUAAAGCCGCACAGCAUCACGUUCAGCUUACAAAUAGAAACAGCUGCGUAUCCUCCAGAAGUCCCCCACGAAGGACGGAAAACGUGUUGGCUGGUGCAUACUGUAAUAAACAGCACUCCAUGGAAUUAUUCUGGGUUUAUGACAUUGGCAGUCAGAAGAGAGAUGAGAUUUCUAGUGUCUGCUUCUUCACUGAUCCAUCGUGUGCUACACUCCCAAGCCAUCUUUGCUCAAAUAUGACAAGUCCAUCCCCUUGUGCAAAAGAGUCACUCCCAGUGGAACACUGAGGUCCUAGAGGGACCUUUCCACAACCCCUGUAGCAAUAAAACAGCCUCCAUGAGAAGAUGGCCUUUCUACAGAUUGAACCUAGGGCCUUAGCAAUGCUAGGCAAACACUGGGCUACAGCUCUAGCACAAGACUUCCGGAUCCAAACAUUCUUCAGCUGUGAUGCAAACCUUUUGCCUGUGCAACAUUCAUCUGAACUGACUUGCAUCGCCCCCACGGGACUGAGGAUAAGGAGAGCCGAUGUGAACAUAAAACUUGUUGCUCUACACCUACGCUGCGACCCUUUAAUUCAGUCCCUCAUGGUGUGGCAACCCGAACCAGAACAUUCUUUUCAUUGCUACUUCAUAGCUGUAAUUUUGCUACUGUUACGAUUUAUAAUGUAAAUAUAUGUUUUUCUGUGGUGUUAAGUGACCCCUGUGAAAAGGUCGUUUGAUUCCAGGGGGUGGUGACCCACAGUUUGAGAACCACUGUUCUACAAGGGAAAAGGUGCUAGCCCUGUCCCAGAAGUCUGAUAACCUCCAUUAACACCCAUGAUCUUUGGCAGGCUAAUGUAUGAGCACUUUAAGUGUGAUCAAAGCUUAGCUCCUUCCCAGUUAUUGGCACUUUUUAAUCUAAUAAUUGACUUAAUCACAUGAAAUAUGUAAGACGCCUCCUUUCCAUAUGCCAACCCUUCAUCCCAGCACACACACAUCAUGUACAUGCAAACAAACUUUUUUAUCUCCCCCAAUACACCUACUUUAGUAAUUUGGAUUACAACGCUAUUCAAUAUUUACAGGGAUAAGGCUACAAAUGCAUUUACAAGCACAGUUCAGUUGUGUGUGUGUGUGUGUGUGUGUGUGCAUAUGCCUGUGUGUGUGUGUGUGUGUGUGUGUGUGUGUGUGUGUGUGUGUGUGUUAGUUAAGAACAAGAAGGUACUAUUGGAUGGAUCACAGGGCCCCCAAUGGAGGAGCUAGAGAAAGUACCCAAGGAGCUAAAGGGAUCUGCAACCCUAUAGGGGGAACAACAUUAUGAACUAACCAGUACCCCGGAGCUCUUGACUCUAGCUGCAUAUGUAUCAAAAGAUGGCCUAGUCGGCCAUCACUGGAAAGAGAGGCCCAUUGGACUUGCAAACUUUAUAUGCCCCAGUACAGGGGAACGCCAGAGCCAAAAAGGGGGAGUGGGUGGGUAGGGGAGUGGGGGGGUGGGUAUGGGGGACUUUUGGGAUAGUAUUGGAAAUGUAAAUGAGGAAAACACCUAAUUAAAAAAAAAAUGAGAAGGUACUCCAAAGUUUGAUAGACCACUAUGGGGAUACCUGCACAAAUUAAAACUGAUAAUGCUCCCUCAUAUGUAUAUAAUGAGAAGCAACAAUUCUUUGAAUAUUACAAUAUAAAACAUGUUAACUGGUAUACCACAUAAUCCCACAGGAUAAGCAGUUACAGAAAGAGCCAACUGUACCUUAAAAGAGAUGCUUAUUAAACAAAAAGGGAGAGCAAAAAUCCCCAAGGGCCAACUAAACAAUGUGUUGCUAACUCUCAAUUUUCUUAAUGUUGGUGAAAAAGGAACAGCAGCAGCUGAGUGAGACUCACUGGGUUAUCGGAAAAAAAAAACAAAACAAAACAAAAACAACAACAACAAAACCCUGAGGAACUAGGUCGGCCAAUAUACCAUAAGGAUGUGUUGACAUAAGAAUGGAAACCUGCAAUCGUGCUAAGAUGGGGAUGUGACUAUGCGUAUGUAUCUACAGAGAAUGAAAAACUAUGGAUACCAACAAAACUUAUAAAGAUUAGGUCUGACCAGGGAAAACCUCUGAUCAGCUGAGACCUAAAUGUCUUCACAAAAAAUAUCCCAGGUGAUUCACCCUCACAAGCUGUCUCAGUUACUGAUUUCUCUCCAAAGUGCAUGUAAAUCAAGUUCAAAAGGGCUAGCUAGACUUAAUGAUAGAUCUCACAAAGACUGGAAAGACACAGAGACUGGCCAAUAAAUGCUACAGCUAGCUUUUUCCAAGUAACCAUUUUCUUCCUUGGGACCUCUAGAGGAAUUCUUCACCCCAGUUCAGCAGAAGCAAUUUUACAAAGAUCAUCACCCUAGCCCCUUAAAUCAGGGUGGAUAGGUUUGGUCAUUUGAUGUAUUAUAUUUGUUAUCAUCCAGGAUGGAAGGUUGUUAUUGGUUAUCAUCAGGGAUUGAUAAGAAUUUAGAAGUGUUUUGUUUGAAUUAUUGUAUAUCAAUAGAAAUUUAAGGUUUUUUUUUUUGUUUAACUAGUGGUUAUUGAUAGAAAUUUAAUAUUGUUUUGUCUGAAGUAUUGUAUAUUGAUAGAAAUUUAAGGUUGUUUUGUUAGCUUAGUUGAUUAUAUUGUACACGUGUCAUUUAUUGGAAAUGUGAUGGUUCUUACAAUUAUUUCUAUUAUGCAUAGAUUGCUAAUGAUAAAGAAAAGGACAAAUUUUUUUGAAGAUUUAUUUAUUAGAUGUAAGUACACUGUAAGAGGGCAUCCAAUCUCAUUACAGAUGGUUGUGAGCCACCAUAUGGUUGCUGGGAUUUGAACUCAGGACCUUCGGGAAAGCAGUCAGUGCUCUUAACCGCUGAGCCAUCUCUCCAGCCCCAAGGACAAUUCUUAAACAGAAAGGGGGAUAUGAAGUGGAAACUCCUAGUGUCUUUGGAAAGCUAUAUGUUUUGCUGGAGCACACAGGUUAAAGGCUGUCUUGCUAAAGCAAACAAACACGUGAAAGUUUUCCUGAAGCAGACACAGAAUAAAGAAUCUUUUGAUACAGCAAAUACAAAAAGGACCCAGGAUGAAGGAGUAUAAAUAUGACCCCACAGACAGUGGGAGCCAAGCGCUGGGCUCUGGUUUGCUUUGCUCUGCCUUGCUGUUCUUCACUAACAAUACGCAUGCAUUGGCUCACCUUACAUAGUGUUGUUGAGUUCAACUUGUGGUAAUGCUGCCAUUGAGUAAAACUCGACCAAGAACUACUUGUAAGGUUCCUGCGUCAGCUUGCUGCUUCAGUAGUCUUGCCUCAGGCUGGUUGGGGAGCCUUGUGGUUCCUUCCGGAUUGAACUUCAGCUGCUGGUUCAUGCCUGGUGCCUGCCUGCCAAGAGCUGCUGCUGAGUUGUAUUUGGUAUUUCCUAUGGGACCGAACUACUGCCAAAGAAGAUUCAGUUCACCCCCAAAGAACUAUUGCUGAACAAGUCCACUCUCCCUAUAUCCUAAUAACUUUUCUCUUCCACCACCUCUUCUGGGUGAUGGGCUAGAGGAGAGGUUAAACCCUUAUUAAAAGUAGGUUGCAAAAAAUAUGUAUGCCAACAGACCCCCCUAUCCAUCUACCAGACUAUACUAUUAAAGGGUCCAGGAAAAACCUGCUGAGGAACUUUGUUAUUUUUCUGAUAAUUUGUGUUUGUUUGUUCUGCCCCUUUGUCUUUUCCCAUUUCUUUCUUUUCUAUAUUUUAGUAAUAUUUUGACUUUUUUUUUUUUAUAAAAUUUCACUUUUUGUUUUCCUCUCUUACAUCUGGCUGAUUUUGUUUCCCUUUUUCUUCUCUUUGUUGUGAAACCCCAUGGUUUCUACCUCAUUCUUCUUUUUGUCCUUUAUGAUGUUUUCUCCGUUCCUCUUGGUCAUUCUCUCAUUUGUCUUUCCCUUUCCUUUAACAUGUUUCCUACCAUCUUCCUCGGCAUCGAUUACUAUUAUUAAUUUAUGCCACAUAAUAUUUGAGUUCAUAGCUUCUCUGUAUGUCACCAUUUCCUGCAUCCCUGGUAGUACAGCAGCACUACUCAGAGUAUAUUCUAUCUGGUGUGUUAUGUUGUAGACCUUACAGUGACUUCUGCUCACUUAGCAGUAAUGGGAGCUGUACCCUCAAGAGAAGAUUUCCAGACAAAACCAAUAGAUAGUUAUACCAAAAGAUGCGCUAAUCAUAGCACAGAAACACACAAUAUCAAGAUAAUAUGGGUCCUCCAAAGAUCAUGAAUUCGAAGACAUGCUACAUAAAGAACUCAGAAGUCUACUGGGGGGCGGGGCUGGAGAGAUGGCUCAGCAGUUAAGAGCACUGACUGCUCUUCCAGAGGUCCUGAGUUCAAAUCCGAGCAACUACAUGGUGGCUCACAACCAUCUGUAAUGAGAUCUGAUGCCCUCUUCUGGUGUGUCUGAAGACAGCUACGGUGUACUUACAUAUAAUAAAUAAAUAAAUCUUUAAAAAAAAAAGUCUACUUGGAAAAGUUAACAAUGACUCCAAGAGCAUCAAGUAAGUGAGCGGAUACAGUUAAGAAAUCAGUGCUGGAUCCAGAGAAGAAAUGUGGCAGCUUUGAUGAGACAGUCAGUGGCAGAUGAAAUUCAACAUGGAAACAGGUUUUUAAGGAAAAAAACAUGAACAGAUGUGCGGGACGUGGGGGAUGUAGUGCACACCUUUUAUCCCAGCAAUGGGGAGGCAGAGCUAGGCAGAUCUCCAACUAAGAGAUCAAUGUGGUCUGCAGAAUUGAUUCCAGGACAGCCAAGGCUACCCAGAGAAACCCUAUAUUCAAAACAACAACAAAACAAACAAACAAAGUAUGUUUUGAAUGAAGAUCUCAGUAAAUCUGGGGCUUGAGAGAGAGAGCUCAGCAGCUAAGAGUACUUGCUGCUCUUCCAGAGGGCAAGGCAAGCUCGGGGCCAGUUAUAUCAGCACCCACAACAGUCAGCUCACAGCUGCCUCUAACUCUAGUUCCAGAGGACCUGGUGCCAUCUCCUGGCCUCUGUGAGCCCCUUCACACUCUCAGCAUACACUCCCUAAGAUACAUACACAUAGAUAAGAAGAAAAAUCAAGAAAUCAAAUAAAAACCACAGUGAAAGCAAAACUGAGGACAUUCUGUAGCUUGUCUUUGCUAAUUAUGGGUUUUUUUUUCCACCCCUUAUUCCCACCCCCUCAACCAUGGUUUCAACCCCUAACACUAGAUAGGGGAGGAAAGAAAGAUGGAGGAGGGGAAGAGAGAGGGAGAGGUGUCACUGAGUCUAAUCUCUUUCCCCUUGCUUCUUCUUGAACAUGACUUAGUAGUCACACGACACCAUAACCAUCUUCCCUGAAUGAACAACAACCUUGCCUCUGGGGACCCUAGCAUUUAUAUACCCUCUGAAAAGUUCCCAGGAUUUCAAAUGUCACACAGUUGCAGAAACUAUCUGCAGCUGGCAAAACCUUGCCUCUGCUAGAACAUGAGACAAAUUAUAGCUGGCACACAGCCCCACAUCCCUACACCGGAGGUUUUUUGUUUGUUUGUUUGUUUUUUUAAGCACAUACUUAUGGUAUUUAUGUGUUAAAAAAGAAAAGAAAAGAAAUUCCAAAAUUGUUACCUCAUUUUACCCCUUCUGUUUUAAGACAUUAAUUAUGCUGUGUGUAUCAGAAAUUAUAAACAGACAUUUUCAAUGAAGUAAGUGCUUUGGGGUUACUGGUCAAGCUUUUCAGGAGAUCUCUCCUGCCCAGAUAGAAUCUUUGUCAGUUGUGAUGGUAUCCACAGCUUUUCAUUUCCUGUGGAAAUAUAAACAAAUUUGUAUCCCCAGUGUGAAACUUUCCCGGGCCGUUAUUCUGAUGUUAGCACAUCCUAAUAGUAUAUAGGCUGACUUAAUUCUUCAGGUUUGUUUUUCUAUAACCUAGUGUCUCUUGGCUGCUGUUGUUCCUUUCUCAUUAACAUUUAGAAAAUUUAAAGUUAGCAGGGUAUUAUUUAGUCUAUCCCAGGGGGUCUUUAUUCUUCCUUUUUGUUUUUUAUAAGCAUUUCCUUUAAGGUGUUAUUAGCUCUUUCUACAACUGCUGUCCUGUAGGAUUAAGUGAUGUGCCUGUAAUGUGCUCUAUAUUAUAAUGUGCAAAGAAUUGCUUCCUCUUACUGGAUUCAUAUGCAGAGACAUGAUCAGUCUUAAUUUGUACAGGUAUCUCCAUAGUAGCUAUUAUUUCCAGUAAAUGUGUAAGUACAAAAUCAGCCUCUUGGCACUCAUUACAGCUGCCCAUUGAAACCCUGAGUAUGUGUGUGUCAGUGAUAUGGUGUACAAACUUCAGUUUUCCCAUUCUACAAAUGAAACACAUCCAUCUGUCUGACUCCAUCUCUUUUCGUACCCUAGGGUUACUUCUAGUGUAUAAUGGAGUUUAAUUAUUCAAAGAGCAAGUAGAACAUUUUUCUCAUAAUUUCCUUUACCCGUUGCCAGGUGGUAGAGUUUUUAAUUUUUUACUGUUAACAUAGUGUUUUUCAUGAAAUUCCGAGGCUUCUAUACAUUUCCUAUUGAUAAUUGGUCAAUUUCUUCAUUUUAUUGUGCUGAUGGAUCUGGCAAACCUAUAUGAGACUGAAUAUGAAUGAUGUGUAAUGAAUAAUUUCUAUUUCUGAUUGCCUGUUGCAGCUGUAUGAAUAACAAGGUUAAUUCUGAAUUUUCAGGAAUAAGUUAGGCAGUUUCUACAUGCAGAACAACUCUUUCUGCAUGUUGCAAGUCAGUAAUGAUAUUAAGAGAUUCAGUAAAAUCUAAUACCAUAAGGUUUGCAUACAACCCUGAUUUUUUUUUCACUGAAGUAUAUGGACUUUGAAUUACUUUGCUCAUUUUGUCUAACUUGUAACCUGCCAUUCCCAACUUAUUUGCAUCAGUAUAGAAUGUUGGUGCUUCGGGAAUUGGUGUUCCUUUUACAAUACGUGGGAGAAUCCAAUUAGUUAUUUUUAUAAAAUAAAGAUGCUUUGUUUUAGGAUGUUUGCUGUUAAUUCCUCCUAAAUAGUUGCUACAAGCUCUUUGCCAGUCUUCAUUGAUCACCUAUAAUGACACAAUCUCAGCAUUAGUAUCAGGCACUACAAUUUCUUCUGGGUCUGUUCCUGUCCAUUGACACCAGUUGAUUCUACCUUUUAUGAUUAAA
Mus musculus (house mouse) is the source of this 7617-nucleotide long non-coding RNA. RefSeq annotates it as predicted gene, 49870. The transcript has 2 exons. The record is from RefSeq and is a predicted model, not a curated record. Lineage: Eukaryota; Metazoa; Chordata; Mammalia; Rodentia; Muridae.